This 492-nucleotide ribosomal RNA is filed under the name uncultured bacterium. RNAcentral describes it as "partial 16S ribosomal RNA". It matches the Rfam family "Bacterial small subunit ribosomal RNA", at positions 30 to 507 of the family's 1533-position model. The record is from RNAcentral.
AUUGAACGCUGGCGGCAUGCUUUACACAUGCAAGUCGAACGGUAACAGGCCUUCGGGUGCUGCCGAGUGGCGAACGGGUGAGUAAUGCAUCGGAACGUGCCCAGAGGUGGGGGAUAACGCAGCGAAAGCUGUGCUAAUACCGCAUGUGAUCUGAGGAUGAAAGCGGGGGACCAGGCAGCAAUGUUUGGCCUCGCGCCUUUGGAGCGGCCGAUGUCAGAUUAGGUAGUUGGUGGGGUAAAGGCCUACCAAGCCGACGAUCUGUAGCUGGUCUGAGAGGACGACCAGCCACACUGGGACUGAGGCACGGCCCAGACUCCUACGGGAGGCAGCAGUGGGGAAUUUUGGACAAUGGGCGCAAGCCUGAUCCAGCAAUGCCGCGUGCGGGAAGAAGGCCUUCGGGUUGUAAACCGCUUUUGUACGGAACGAAAAGGCUCUGGCUAAUACCUGGGGCUGAUGACGGUACCGUAAGAAUAAGCACCGGCUAACUACGUG